GAAGCAGCUGGCAGGACAGGACCUUUCCCUCUGGCUGUCUUUCCCCCAGCACCUCCGAGCAGAGAGGGCUGCAUUGUCCCCAGAGCCGGGAGGGUGUUUGCGUGUCGGCGUGCCACCAGGCGCCGGCUGCCACAAAAUUCCUGCAAGAAGGGAGCUUUGAACCACGUGGAGUUGAAGAAUAGCUGUGUGAGCAGAGAAUGGGCAGGGAGAACCCUGUUUGUUUCUUAAAUUAACUAAACUAAACUAAAAUGAAAUGUGGAUUUUUACAUCUUUUUGAACAAUCGGGAAGGAUUUCAGAAGAAAGCAGCCACAGGUUUCUGCAUGUCAUGUUGAAGCCCUGGGGUAUCACAGAUCGGUGCCACAGGGAUAUUUUUUAAUGAUGCACUUUGAAACCUUUUAUCUGUUUGGUGCUAUUAAACUCCUUAAUGCCGA
Lonchura striata (white-rumped munia) is the source of this 432-nucleotide long non-coding RNA. RefSeq lists it as uncharacterized. NCBI's taxonomy places the organism in Eukaryota, Metazoa, Chordata, Aves, Passeriformes, Estrildidae. The record is from RefSeq and is a predicted model, not a curated record.